RNAcentral lists this ribosomal RNA (207 nucleotides) under uncultured bacterium. Its description in RNAcentral is "partial 16S ribosomal RNA". It matches the Rfam family "Bacterial small subunit ribosomal RNA", at positions 1284 to 1500 of the family's 1533-position model. The record is from RNAcentral.
AGUCUUAGUUCGGAUUGUAGGCUGCAACUCGCCUACAUGAAGUCGGAGUUGCUAGUAAUCGCGGAUCAGAAUGCCGCGGUGAAUGCGUUCCCGGGUCUUGUACACACCGCCCGUCACACCAUGGAAGUUGGGGGCGCCCGAAGUUGCCUAAGAAAUAAGGUACCUAAGGCGAAACCAAUGACUGGGGUGAAGUCGUAACAAGGUACC